This 1215-nucleotide ribosomal RNA is filed under the name Klebsiella pneumoniae. Its description in RNAcentral is "bacterial LSU rRNA". It matches the Rfam family "Bacterial large subunit ribosomal RNA", at positions 1734 to 2925 of the family's 2925-position model. The record is from RNAcentral. Lineage: Bacteria; Pseudomonadati; Pseudomonadota; Gammaproteobacteria; Enterobacterales; Enterobacteriaceae.
CUUCGGGAGAAGGCACGCUGGUGUGUAGGUGAAGUCCCUGCGGAUGGAGCUGAGACCAGUCGAAGAUACCAGCUGGCUGCAACUGUUUAUUAAAAACACAGCACUGUGCAAACACGAAAGUGGACGUAUACGGUGUGACGCCUGCCCGGUGCCGGAAGGUUAAUUGAUGGGGUUAUCCGUAAGGAGAAGCUCUUGAUCGAAGCCCCGGUAAACGGCGGCCGUAACUAUAACGGUCCUAAGGUAGCGAAAUUCCUUGUCGGGUAAGUUCCGACCUGCACGAAUGGCGUAAUGAUGGCCAGGCUGUCUCCACCCGAGACUCAGUGAAAUUGAACUCGCUGUGAAGAUGCAGUGUACCCGCGGCAAGACGGAAAGACCCCGUGAACCUUUACUAUAGCUUGACACUGAACAUUGAGCCUUGAUGUGUAGGAUAGGUGGGAGGCUUUGAAGCGUGGACGCCAGUCUGCGUGGAGCCAACCUUGAAAUACCACCCUUUAAUGUUUGAUGUUCUAACGUUGGCCCCUUACCGGGGUUGCGGACAGUGUCUGGUGGGUAGUUUGACUGGGGCGGUCUCCUCCCAAAGCGUAACGGAGGAGCACGAAGGUUAGCUAAUCCUGGUCGGACAUCAGGAGGUUAGUGCAAUGGCAUAAGCUAGCUUGACUGCGAGCGUGACGGCGCGAGCAGGUGCGAAAGCAGGUCAUAGUGAUCCGGUGGUUCUGAAUGGAAGGGCCAUCGCUCAACGGAUAAAAGGUACUCCGGGGAUAACAGGCUGAUACCGCCCAAGAGUUCAUAUCGACGGCGGUGUUUGGCACCUCGAUGUCGGCUCAUCACAUCCUGGGGCUGAAGUAGGUCCCAAGGGUAUGGCUGUUCGCCAUUUAAAGUGGUACGCGAGCUGGGUUUAGAACGUCGUGAGACAGUUCGGUCCCUAUCUGCCGUGGGCGCUGGAGAAUUGAGGGGGGCUGCUCCUAGUACGAGAGGACCGGAGUGGACGCAUCACUGGUGUUCGGGUUGUCAUGCCAAUGGCACUGCCCGGUAGCUAAAUGCGGAAGAGAUAAGUGCUGAAAGCAUCUAAGCACGAAACUUGCCCCGAGAUGAGUUCUCCCUGAGACUAUAAGUCUCCUGAAGGAACGUUAAAGACGAUGACGUUGAUAGGCCGGGUGUGUAAGCGCAGCGAUGCGUUGAGCUAACCGGUACUAAUGAACCGUGAGGCUUAACCUU